This 533-nucleotide ribosomal RNA is filed under the name Crocidura olivieri (Olivier's shrew). RNAcentral describes it as "partial 16S ribosomal RNA". It matches the Rfam family "Bacterial large subunit ribosomal RNA", at positions 1816 to 2586 of the family's 2925-position model. The record is from RNAcentral. Lineage: Eukaryota; Metazoa; Chordata; Mammalia; Eulipotyphla; Soricidae.
CACCUCUAGCAUUACCAGUAUUAGAGGCACUGCCUGCCCAGUGACAUUAGUUAAACGGCCGCGGUAUCCUGACCGUGCAAAGGUAGCAUAAUCAUUUGUUCCUUAAUUAGGGACUUGUAUGAAUGGCCCCACGAGGGUUUAACUGUCUCUUACUUUUAAUCAGUGAAAUUGACCUUCCCGUGAAGAGGCGGGAAUACAAAAAUAAGACGAGAAGACCCUAUGGAGCUUAAAUUAAUUUGUUCAACAGAAUUUAAUUAUAGCCCAAUAGGAACAAAAAUAUUCUAACUGAACAAUAAAUUUUGGUUGGGGUGACCUCGGAGUAUAACAUAACCUCCGAGCAAUUAAACCAAGACUUACCAGUCAAGGCUAUAUAACUUAUUGAUCCAAUCUUAUUGAUCAACGAAACAAGUUACCCUAGGGAUAACAGCGCAAUCCUAUUUAAGAGUUCAUAUCGACAAUAGGGUUUACGACCUCGAUGUUGGAUCAGGACACCCAAAUGGUGCAGCAGCUAUUAAAGGUUCGUUUGUUCAACG